UGGGGAAUUUUGGACAAUGGGCGAAAGCCUGAUCCAGCAAUGCCGCGUGCGUGAAGAAGGCCUUCGGGUUGUAAAGCACUUUUUGUCCGGAAAGAAAUCCUUGGCUCUAAUACAGUCGGGGGAUGACGGUACCGGAAGAAUAAGCACCGGCUAACUACGUGCCAGCAGCCGCGGUAAUACGUAGGGUGCAAGCGUUAAUCGGAAUUACUGGGCGUAAAGCGUGCGCAGGCGGUUUGCUAAGACCGAUGUGAAAUCCCCGGGCUCAACCUGGGAACUGCAUUGGUGACUGGCAGGCUAGAGUAUGGCAGAGGGGGGUAGAAUUCCACGUGUAGCAGUGAAAUGCGUAGAGAUGUGGAGGAAUACCGAUGGCGAAGGCAGCCCCCUGGGCCAAUACUGACGCUCAUGCACGAAAGCGUGGGGAGCAAAACAGGAUUAGAUACCCUGGUAGUCCACGCCCUAAACGAUGUCAACUAGUUGUUGGGGAUUCAUUUCCUUAGUAACGUAGCUAACGCGUGAAGUUGACCGCCUGGGGAGUACGGUCGCAAGAUUAAAACUUAAAUGAAUUG
RNAcentral lists this ribosomal RNA (566 nucleotides) under uncultured bacterium. RNAcentral's name for it is "partial 16S ribosomal RNA". It matches the Rfam family "Bacterial small subunit ribosomal RNA", at positions 355 to 912 of the family's 1533-position model. The record is from RNAcentral.